GCUGGGGUGGAUGAGUGGCGAACGGGUGAGUAACACGUGAGUAACCUGCCCAUCACUCUGGGAUAAGCGCUGGAAACGGCGUCUAAUACUGGAUACGAGCAGCGACCGCAUGGUCAGCUGUUGGAAAGACUGGUUCGGUGAUGGAUGGACUCGCGGCCUAUCAGCUUGUUGGUGAGGUAAUGGCUCACCAAGGCGACGACGGGUAGCCGGCCUGAGAGGGUGACCGGCCACACUGGGACUGAGACACGGCCCAGACUCCUACGGGAGGCAGCAGUGGGGAAUAUUGCACAAUGGGCGCAAGCCUGAUGCAGCAACGCCGCGUGAGGGAUGACGGCCUUCGGGUUGUAAACCUCUUUUAGUAGGGAAGAAGCCUUCGGGUGACGGUACCUGCAGAAAAAGCACCGGCUAACUACGUGCCAGCAGCCGCGGUAAUACGUAGGGUGCAAGCGUUGUCCGGAAUUAUUGGGCGUAAAGAGCUCGUAGGCGGCUUGUCGCGUCUGCUGUGAAAACCCGAGGCUCAACCUCGGGCCUGCAGUGGGUACGGGCAAGCUAGAGUGCGGUAGGGGAGAUUGGAAUUCCUGGUGUAGCGGUGGAAUGCGCAGAUAUCAGGAGGAACACCGAUGGCGAAGGCAGAUCUCUGGGCCGUAACUGACGCUGAGGAGCGAAAGCAUGGGGAGCGAACAGGAUUAGAUACCCUGGUAGUCCAUGCCGUAAACGUUGGGAACUAGAUGUAGGGCCUGUUCCACGGGUUCUGUGUCGUAGCUA
RNAcentral lists this ribosomal RNA (765 nucleotides) under Leucobacter tardus. RNAcentral describes it as "bacterial SSU rRNA". It matches the Rfam family "Bacterial small subunit ribosomal RNA", at positions 81 to 854 of the family's 1533-position model. Lineage: Bacteria; Bacillati; Actinomycetota; Actinomycetes; Micrococcales; Microbacteriaceae. The record is from RNAcentral.